UCUUUCUCUGUAACUCUCUCUUACUAUUUUGUGCUAAUACUUAUUUCUUUCCUCUCAUUCAAGGACCUCUCACUGGCCAGGUGAGAGGGUAGGAGCUCAGUAACUCUUUGUGAAUAGAGAGAAAAGAAAAGAAUUAAAAUAUUUUACACAGGCAAACACACACAUGUGCAUGCACACACACACACACACACACACACACACACAUACACAUAUAUAUGCAUACACAUUCUGGUCAGGCCCAAUCACCCGUCUCAUCAACUCCACAAGUGUUCAUGCAUACUUACAUACACGUAUCUAUACUUACAUAUAUAUAGUGAGUGGCACAAAAAAAAGCCCACAAACAAGUUCCAUUGAACAAGCACCAGAGCAGAAAGAACUCACUCAUUCUGGUUGAAAAAGAACCAGAGAAAGACAAAUAUUUAUUGCUCAGAGAAGGAAAAAGCUUCUACCUUUUUAUUGCUGUAAGUAAUAAAAAAAAAAAG
Molecule: long non-coding RNA, 482 nt
Filed under: Rattus norvegicus (Norway rat)
Lineage: Eukaryota; Metazoa; Chordata; Mammalia; Rodentia; Muridae
Description: long non-coding RNA NONRATT012239
Source: RNAcentral